GCAGGGUGUGGUGGCGCAUGCCUGUAAUCCCAGCUACUCGGGAGGCUGAGGCAGGAGAAUCGCUUGAACCCGGGAGGCGGAGGUUGCAGUGAGCUGAGAACAUAGCACUGCACUCCAGCCUGGGUGACAGAGCGAGACUCUGUCUCAG
RNAcentral lists this non-coding RNA (148 nucleotides) under Homo sapiens (human). Lineage: Eukaryota; Metazoa; Chordata; Mammalia; Primates; Hominidae. The record is from Rfam by way of RNAcentral.